This 497-nucleotide ribosomal RNA is filed under the name uncultured bacterium. RNAcentral describes it as "partial 16S ribosomal RNA". It matches the Rfam family "Bacterial small subunit ribosomal RNA", at positions 28 to 507 of the family's 1533-position model. The record is from RNAcentral.
GAUGAACGCUGGCGGCGUGCCUAAUACAUGCAAGUCGAGCGAACAGACGAGGAGCUUGCUCCUCUGACGUUAGCGGCGGACGGGUGAGUAACACGUGGAUAACCUACCUAUAAGACUGGGAUAACUUCGGGAAACCGGAGAUAAUACCGGAUAAUAUAUUGAACCGCAUGGUUCAAUAGUGCAAGACGGAUUUGCUGUCACUUAUAGAUGGAUCCGCGCCGGAUUAGCUAGUUGGUAAGGUAACGGCUUACCAAGGCAACGAUGCGUAGCCGACCUGAGAGGGUGAUCAGCCACACUGGAACUGAGACACGGUCCAGACUCCUACGGGAGGCAGCAGUAGGGAAUCUUCCGCAAUGGGCGAAAGCCUGACGGAGCAACGCCGCGUGAGUGAUGAAGGUCUUCGGAUCGUAAAGCUCUGUUAUUAGGGAAGAACAAAUGUAUAAGUAACUAUGCACGUCUUGACGGUACCUAAACAGAAAGCCACGGCUAACUACGUG